RNAcentral lists this unclassified non-coding RNA (292 nucleotides) under uncultured Gammaproteobacteria bacterium. RNAcentral describes it as "contains 16S-23S intergenic spacer region". Lineage: Bacteria; Pseudomonadati; Pseudomonadota; Gammaproteobacteria. The record is from RNAcentral.
GGACUACAGGGGUUUCUAAUCCUGUUUGCUCCCCACGCUUUCGCACCUCAGCGUCAGUAUUUGGCCAGAAAGUCGCCUUCGCCACUGGUGUUCCUUCGGAUAUCUACGCAUUUCACCGCUACACCCGAAAUUCCACUUUCCUCUCCAAUACUCUAGUUCGACAGUAUCGAAUGCAAUUCCAAGGUUAAGCCCUGGGCUUUCACAUCCGACUUACCGAACCGCCUACGCGCGCUUUACGCCCAGUAAUUCCGAUUAACGCUUGCACCCUUCGUAUUACCGCGGCUGCUGGCAC